CUACGGGCGGCACCAGGCGAGAAAACUUUGCAAUGUGCGAAAGCACGACAAGGUUAAUCCGAGUGGUUUGUGCUAAACGAACCUUUUGUUAGUCCUAGAAACACUAACGAAUAAGGGGUGGGCAAGUUCUGGUGUCAGCCGCCGCGGUAAAACCAGCACCUCGAGUGGUCAGGAUGAUUAUUGGGCCUAAAGCAUCCGUAGCCGGCUCUGUAAGUUUUCGGUUAAAUCUGUACGCUUAACGUACAGGCUGCCGGGAAUACUGCAGAGCUAGGGAGUGGGAGAGGUAGACGGUACUCGGUAGGAAGGGGUAAAAUCCUUUGAUCUAUUGAUGACCACCUGUGGCGAAGGCGGUCUACCAGAACACGUCCGACGGUGAGGGAUGAAAGCUGGGGGAGCAAACCGGAUUAGAUACCCCAGUAGUC
RNAcentral lists this ribosomal RNA (422 nucleotides) under uncultured archaeon. RNAcentral's name for it is "partial 16S ribosomal RNA". It matches the Rfam family "Archaeal small subunit ribosomal RNA", at positions 323 to 746 of the family's 1478-position model. The record is from RNAcentral.